RNAcentral lists this long non-coding RNA (2340 nucleotides) under Hordeum vulgare. RNAcentral describes it as "long non-coding RNA (HVUL_LNC014442)". The record is from RNAcentral. Lineage: Eukaryota; Viridiplantae; Streptophyta; Magnoliopsida; Poales; Poaceae.
CUCAAUCCGUCCCACGAUCUGCUCCGAUCUAGUGCCGACCGGACGGCACCUCCGCGUUCAGCACACGUACAACUCGACGAUGAUCUCGGCCUUCUUGAUCCAGCAAGAGAGACGGAGAGGUAGAUGAGUUCUCCGGCAGCGUGACGGCGCUCCGGAGGUUGGUGGUGAUCUAAUCUUAGCAGGGCUCCGCCCGAGCUCCGCAGAAACGCGAUCUAGAGAAAAAACUAUGAACGUAUGUGGUCGGGCUGCUGUGGCAAAGUGUCACUCCCAAGAUGCAACCCUAUCCUCAAUUUGGCAUGAAGGCCUCGUCAGGGAUAGAAGCGCAUCUCGUCGUGUCGCAAGAAUUGAUAUCGUUACAAGUACAUGUACUGAAAAGACGAGAUAUAUAAACAGAGUUGGCUUACACUCGCCACAAGCUACAUCAGAGUCACAUCAGUACAUUACAUAAUCAUCAAGGGUAAGAGCAGGGUCCGACUACGGACGAAAAACAAACGACAAAAGAAGAACGACGUCCAUCCUUGCUAUCCCAGGCUGCCGGCCUGGAACACAUCCUAGAUCGAUGAAGAAGAAGAAGAAGAAGCAACUCCGAAUGAACAAUCGACGCGCUCACGUCGAGUAACAUUUACCUGUACCUGCAACUGGUGUUGUAGUAAUCUGUGAGCCAUAGGGGACUCAGCAAUCUCAUUUCCAAAGGUAUCAAGACUAGCAAAGCUUAAUGGGUGAGGCAAGGUUAAGUGGUGAGGUUGCAGCAGCGGCUAAGCAUGUAUAUGGUGGCUAACUUACGAGUACCAUAAAUAAGAGGGGGAAGAUCUACGCAUAGCGGACGUGAAAUACUGAUGAUCAAGUGAAUGAUCCUGAACACCUACCUACGUCAGACAUAACCCCACCGUGUCCUCGAUCGGAGAAGGAACUCACGAAAGAGACAGUCACGGAAACGCACACAGUUGGCAAGUUUAAUUAAGUUAACUUCAAGUUAUCUAGAACCAGUGUUAAACAAAGCUUCCACGUUGCCACAUAACCGCGGGCACGGCUUUCCGAAAGAUUUAACCCUGCAGGGGUGCUCCAACUAGUCCAUCACAAAUUACCACAAGCCGUAUAGAAAUCCUCAAUCGCGAAGCUCGCGAUCUCGUCGGAUUCUCUAAUGGAAAACCUCAACUCUGAGAUUACCCAAAGCAUCACCGGAAUCCCGAUGCACAAGAUAUCUCGUCAAAGGUAAAACUAAUCCAGCAAGGCCGCCCGACGUGUCGACGAUCCCGAUAGGAGUCGCGUACCUCGUUCUCACGACACGACGGAUGUGUCACACUAGGAGUACCAAACCUCGGGUUGCCCCGCGGUGGUCCCGUAGUCUGCCAAUUUGGACCAACACUCAUGAGGAGCACUGGCCCGGGGGUUGAUUAAAUUAUCCUCGGGGUCCGGAAAGUCCCUAUGCAAUUUUAUUAGGUGUUUAGGCAAAUGUAGUACCAAAGUUGGGCCUUGCCAGACCAGUCUUAAUCAAAAACGAAUUAUCAAGGGGGUCCCCAUAACAACCCCGAUCGUGUUAGGAGCGCUCAAAUAUGGAACAUAACACCGGUAGCCGGAAACUAAGGGGGGGGCAAAGGUGGAACAAAACACCAGGCUAGAAAGGCCGAGCCUUCCACCUUUUACCAGAUAUAUAGGUGCAUUAAAUUAAAUAGCAUUUAAUAUGGUGAUAUAACAAGGAACCCAUGCUUUGCAUGGAAGCAACUGCACCUGCAACUAGCAACGCUAACACAGGGUUAAGCAAGCAGUAACAUAGCCAAUCAGUGGUUUGCUAGGUCGAACAGGUAGAUGGUAAUCAUGGCAUUGUUGAGAGGCUGAAUUUAACAGGUGGUAGGCAACGAGACAUAAACGAUAGAAGCGGUGAACUAGCAUGGCAAUGAUAGUAAUGGUAUCUGGGGAAAUGGUCAUCUUGCCUGAGAUCCCGCUUGGAAGAAGAAUGCCUCCGUGAAGCAGACGAACCGACGUAGUCGAACGGGUCCUCACAAUCCGACACGCUUGCGGAACUCUAUCGAGACGGGGAAACCGGAAACAAGCAUCAACACACGAUAUUCACCACACGAUGCACAACACGUAUGAUGCAUGAGCUACUGAACAAAUGCAUGUCACGGCAUGGCAAUUCACACAGUCAAACACUACACAUUAAGUGAAGUUCAAUAUGCACGAGUUGCAUAUUGACGAAACUCCACGUUAAUUAUUUAGUUCACUCCCGGUUAUUUAUACGACGAUAUUAAUGUUGUCAAACAUGCAAGAGGUGAAGCGGAAAUUAAACUACCUAUCUAGGCAUUUUAAAUGAGGUCGGAAAUGACAUAUAGCAUCUCCGAG